UCUCGGUGAUGAUAAUUUAAGAUGACGAGUCUGAUAAUCCAUUCUUUAAAAACCUUGAUGACAAAACGAGGCAUUUGUCUGAUGAGGU
RNAcentral lists this small nucleolar RNA (88 nucleotides) under Erythranthe guttata (spotted monkey flower). Its description in RNAcentral is "Mimulus guttatus (spotted monkey flower) Plant small nucleolar RNA SNOR75". It matches the Rfam family "Plant small nucleolar RNA SNOR75". Rfam says of the family: U15 is a member of the C/D class of snoRNA which contain the C (UGAUGA) and D (CUGA) box motifs. Lineage: Eukaryota; Viridiplantae; Streptophyta; Magnoliopsida; Lamiales; Phrymaceae. The record is from Rfam by way of RNAcentral.